UGGGUAUGAAGGCUGAUUAUAAUAGAAUGGCUGGAUAGGCUGACUAGACUGACCUCUAUUAUAGGCAUAGUUAUGAUAUUAAGACCUAUUUUGAAAGUUAUGUAUAGAUGGCAUUUGGGUCUGAGUCUGAGUCUGUUGAGGUCUCCAAAAAAAAUUAGGGAGGUUUCUCUAAUAUUGGUUAUAUGUGUUUAAGAAUGGGUCAUUG
RNAcentral lists this long non-coding RNA (205 nucleotides) under Elaeis guineensis (African oil palm). RNAcentral describes it as "long non-coding RNA (EGUI_LNC032912)". Lineage: Eukaryota; Viridiplantae; Streptophyta; Magnoliopsida; Arecales; Arecaceae. The record is from RNAcentral.